RNAcentral lists this ribosomal RNA (491 nucleotides) under uncultured bacterium. RNAcentral describes it as "partial 16S ribosomal RNA". It matches the Rfam family "Bacterial small subunit ribosomal RNA", at positions 29 to 506 of the family's 1533-position model. The record is from RNAcentral.
AGUGAACGCUGGCGGUAGGCCUAACACAUGCAAGUCGAACGGCAGCACAGUAAGAGCUUGCUCUUACGGGUGGCGAGUGGCGGACGGGUGAGGAAUACAUCGGAAUCUACUUUUUCGUGGGGGAUAACGUAGGGAAACUUACGCCAAUACCGCAUACGACCUACGGGUGAAAGCAGGGGAUCUUCGGACCUUGCGCGAUUGAAUGAGCCGAUGUCGGAUUAGCUAGUUGGCGGGGUAAAGGCCCACCAAGGCGACGAUCCGUAGCUGGUCUGAGAGGAUGAUCAGCCACACUGGAACUGAGACACGGUCCAGACUCCUACGGGAGGCAGCAGUGGGGAAUAUUGGACAAUGGGCGCAAGCCUGAUCCAGCCAUACCGCGUGGGUGAAGAAGGCCUUCGGGUUGAAAAGCCCUUUUGUUGGGAAAGAAAAGCAGCAGGUUAAUACCCCGCUGUUCUGACGGUACCCAAAGAAUAAGCACCGGCUAACUUCGU